GAGCGGCGAACGGGUGAGUAACACGUGAGCAACCUGCCCCUGACUNUGGGAUAAGCCCGGGAAACUGGGUCUAAUACCGGAUAUGACACGCUCCCGCAUGGGGUGCGUGUGGAAAGUUUUUCGGUUGGGGAUGGGCUCGCGGCCUAUCAGCUUGUUGGUGGGGUAGUGGCCUACCAAGGCGACGACGGGUAGCCGGCCUGAGAGGGCGACCGGCCACACUGGGACUGAGACACGGCCCAGACUCCUACGGGAGGCAGCAGUGGGGAAUAUUGCGCAAUGGGCGGAAGCCUGACGCAGCGACGCCGCGUGGGGGAUGACGGCCUUCGGGUUGUAAACCUCUUUCAGCAGGGACGAAGUUGACGUGUACCUGCAGAAGAAGCGCCGGCUAACUACGUGCCAGCAGCCGCGGUAAUACGUAGGGCGCAAGCGUUGUCCGGAAUUAUUGGGCGUAAAGAGCUCGUAGGUGGCUUGUCGCGUCGGAUGUGAAAGCCCGCAGCUUAACUGCGGGUCUGCAUUUGAUACGGNCAGGCUAGAGGUAGGUAGGGGAGAACGGAAUUCCU
Molecule: ribosomal RNA, 560 nt
Filed under: Streptosporangium sp. 343D03
Lineage: Bacteria; Bacillati; Actinomycetota; Actinomycetes; Streptosporangiales; Streptosporangiaceae
Description: bacterial SSU rRNA
Rfam family: Bacterial small subunit ribosomal RNA
Source: RNAcentral